RNAcentral lists this ribosomal RNA (1242 nucleotides) under metagenome. RNAcentral describes it as "bacterial LSU rRNA". It matches the Rfam family "Bacterial large subunit ribosomal RNA", at positions 1564 to 2815 of the family's 2925-position model. The record is from RNAcentral.
UGAAUACGAGAUGCUAAGGCGUCGAAGUAGUGUAUGUCAUGCUUCCAAGAAAAGCUUGCAAUGUCAUAAAUAAAAAGUGCCUGUACCAUAACCGACACAGGUGGGUAAGUAGAGUAUACUAAGGGGCGCGAGAUAACUCUCUCUAAGGAACUCGGCAAAAUAACUCCGUAACUUCGGGAGAAGGAGUGCCUUAUUCUUAAGGUUGCAAUAACAAGAUCCAAGCAACUGUUUAUCAAAAACACAGGUCUCCGCUAAGUCGUAAGACGAUGUAUGGGGGCUGACGCCUGCCCAGUGCCAGAAGGUUAAAGAAGUCGGUUAGCAUUUGCGAAGCUGGUAACUGAAGCCCUGGUGAACGGCGGCCGUAACAAUAACGGUCCUAAGGUAGCGAAAUUCCUUGUCGGGUAAGUUCCGACCCGCACGAAAGGCGUAAUGAUUUGGAUGCUGUCUCGGAGAGGGGCUCGGUGAAAUAGACUUGUCUGUGAAGAUGCGGACUACCUGCACCAGGACAGAAAGACCCUAUGAAGCUUUACUGUAACUUGAAAUUGAAAUUGGACUUUAUUCGCGCAGUAUAGGUGGGAGGCGUUGAUUAUAAUCUUGCGGGAUUAUCGGAGCCAUCAGUGAGAUACCACUCUUCUAAUGUUAGAUUUCUAACUUUGAAUCAUUAUCUGGUCAAAGGACAAUUUCAGGCGGGCAGUUUGACUGGGGCGGUCGCCUCCUAAAUGGUAACGGAGGCGUACAAAGGUUUCCUCUGAACGGUUAGAAAUCGUAUCUAGAGUGUAAAGGCAUAAGGAAGCUUGACUGUGAGACCUACAAGUCGAGCAGGGACGAAAGUCGGUCUUAGUGAUCUGACGGUACUGAGUGGAAAGGCCGUCACUCAACGGAUAAAAGUUACUCUAAGGAUAACAGGCUGAUCUCCCCCAAGAGUUCACAUCGACGGGGAGGUUUGGCACCUCGAUGUCGGCUCAUCGCAUCCUGGGGCGGUAGUACGUCCCAAGGGUUGGGCUGUUCGCCCAUGAAAGCGGUACGCGAGCUGGGUUCAGAACGUCGUGAGACAGUUCGGUCCAUAUCCGGUGUAGGCGUUAGAAUAUUGAGAGGAGCCUUCUUUAGUACGAGAGGACCGAGAAGGACAUACCUCUGGUGUACCAGUUAUCGUGCCAACGGUAAACGCUGGGUAGCUAUGUAUGGAGUGGAUAACCGCUGAAAGCAUCUAAGUGGGAAGCCCACCUCAAGAUAAGUAUUCUC